GGGGAAACAAACUGUUCUUUGGCCACCUGCACAACUUCGGGCAGGUCAUAAAUUGUGACGGUAGAACUUGGAUAUAAAGAAACACACUCUUGGGCCAAAGCUCCUCCACCUCCUUUGGGGACAGUAAAAGAAGGUCUUCCCACUCACCCUGAUACCAGCUUAGAAAGGAAUACAUGCAGCACCACAGCAGGGGUGUCCUACUUGUACUUUCUAUGUUUUGACAGAGCAGGGUGCUGAGGAAUGACAACACAUUUUUACAUUUUCCAGCUGAUUACUACAGUUUUUCUCCCCUUCUCUGCAAAACAAAUCACGGGCAGCAGAAGGUCCUUGGGAAGGAACAAUGAAAUGACUGCAAAGUACAAUAUGGGGCAUGGAUUUUAACUUCACACAGGACAUCCCCCACAGGUUUUCAUCUGAAAAUUAAACCCCUGGAUUACUUACCUGAAAUCUUGCUGCCCCACUGUUCAUUUCUCUGUCUCUGUCUGACAUCUUGCCCAUCGCACCCCAGGGUAGAUGUGUCAACAUUCAGGUGAGGAAAGAACAUUUCCAUCAAGGAAAAUACUCAGAUUUGAUGUCACAUAUUUAGUGACUCCCCUCAGGAAACAAUGUUAAAUUAAACCUUAUUUGGUAAUACACUGAAGACAAAAUGUUACAAACCAGCAUUUUUUCAGUGGCAGCUUUCUUCAUGCUUCAGAUUCUACUGUAUAAUCUUCCUCUGAAUCUGUACUUUCUAACUAAAUUUUACAUAAUCACACAUCACCAGCCAAAGAUAACUAUUAUUAGCCAAAAAAAUUAGGAAGUUGUAUGAAAACAAAAAAAAAAUUCUCUUCUAAAGGCCAAUUCUACCUGCUUCUGAGAAACUGGUGCAAUUUCAUGAAAGCUUAAGGAUUUCCCACCCCUGGGAACAUAAGAGCUAUUCAGCCCCAGGCCAUAAAUGCACUUCACUUAAAGCAAAGUUAUAUGAUACAUGGGUCUCCACUAAUAAAAUGACCACACAGUUGAUUAAAUACACUUGAAGUUCUUUUUCAAUUAUGACUAAAUCUGUCUGUUGAGGAUAGCAGUUAUAAUCAUCUAAUGGGAUUACUACUAGUAGUAAGAUGUAGGGGAGGAAGCUUGCAGAUAACCCACACCAGACUGAAAAAAGCCAGAUGCAGAAGCUGUUUCCAAGUUAAUUGUUAGUAAGGCUUAGAGUUUAAGCUCCUUUUAAGCUAGAAAUACAUUCAUGAAGAUGAAAUUGCAAGGGCUUGCUUUCUCUGAAAACCCUAUCAAGAUUUCUCUCAUAGGGCUUAGACCACAUGCAGGCUAAAGCCCUUAUUUUACCACCACAGUUCUAUUUCAGUGAUGCAUUUUUCUUUGCCUAAAUCACUCACUACAGUCAAAUGCUACACAAAAAACAAUUAUGUCAUUUUUGCAUAACAUUUGAAAGUAAGAAAUUAUCUAUGAACAAAGGAGAUUUAGUAAAAUGAAUGUGUCUGCCAGUGAGACAUGGCAGAUGACACUAUCUUCUCACACAAAACCUCCCUUGUAAGCAAAAACUACAAAUCCCAGGGAUUGGACUAUGAUGAGUUUCAAUAGUGCCAGUAGGGAAACAACUGUGCCUUGCUAUCAUGAGUAAGUCUCUAAGCAUACCCAGCUUAUAACACGUGCCCUGGAAGGGCCCUAAGGUAAUAGUCUGUGGCCUGUUUUCUAACAAUCCUAAAAAACCAAGAUACUCAGUAACAUACUUUUUCUUUGAAAUAGAAUAUCAAGUUUUAAAUGCUCCUUUUCUCUUUUAUAGCUUCUAACAAUUCUUGUAUUUUACAAUAGAUGCAUUUUCCUAGUAACAUGACUAUUAUUUCCAUCACUUUUGACACACACCAAUUUUAGUUUUUUCCUGUUUUCAUCACAUAUACUAAUAGCAAACAUUUGGAGUUGGCACAAAAAACUGUAUAUCCAGCCUAUUUUCCAAGCAAACCCUCCCUUCUCUUUAGAUUCACUCUGAGAACAGUAAAAACUCUGAGAACAUCUUUUGAAGUGUAUGUCAGGCAAUCCAGAGUUGUUCUUGGUUUAACUUGUGGACUGCAAAUAAUUUCUCAACAAAUAAUUCAACUAAAUAAUCAUUGAGAUUUUUUUGAGAGGAAAGUCCCAGCAGAUAAGAGUCAUAGUCUUCCUGAGGAUAUCCAGCUACAUCAGCUACAAGUGAUAGAUGCAGAAACUUUAGGAAGAGAGAGAGACAGAUGCAAACAGAAAACCAAGAUGGAUAGCAGUUGAGGCAGGCUCUGAAUUCAGAAUUUGCUUGUGUUCUGUCAAGCGUCACAAAGGAAAACCAUGGAUACACAACUGCCUUAAACAGGCCAUUUUAGAGGUUUGGCUUUGUUGGAGAUGGAAGGAACGCCUUCCUGCCCAGGAGAGGUGGUGCAUAAAUUCCUCAUUUUUCCUUCCUUGUGCAUGCAGCUUUGGCUUUACCUUUAUAUUGUGUUUAUCUCAAUUCAUGAGAUUUCUCACUUUUACCCUCACAAUUCUCUAUCCCAUCCCACCAGGGGUGUGUGAACACCUGCAUGGAGUCUAGUUGCCAGCUGCUAUAAAUCACAGCAGCAAGACAUGUGCAAUGAACAGAAAAGAUUUUUCCAGCCCUUCCUUUUUAUAGGGAAGGUAGAAAGCAAAAGACAAUACUCUUGUGUUGAACAGAUGUCCAGGAUCAUAUGCAGAACUGCAGGGAAAAUCUAAUCUGAAGGUGAUCAAUCCUUGUUCAGACACUUGGCUGGCAGUGCCUGGGAGUGACAUCCCUUCAUAUCAUCCUACAGCUAGUCCAAUAUCACGGACAGCACACCUGAACAUCCCAUGCAGAGCAGGUAGAGCUCACCUGGCAGGUGCCACAGUACACAUGCAGCUGGAUUAGUUAUCACUUAGAGAGCAAUUCUAAUCAGCCUUAGCCCUUCAAAAAUUUCAUAACAUUUGCUAUGGCAAAACAUUCACCUGAGCUAACCCAUGAAUUCUCUUUUUUUGUCAGGCAGCAGGAGAUUGAGGUGCAGCAUGUGAGGGGGUACCAGACCAUACUGAUUUUCCGUGCUGCCAUUAAAGAAAGGGUGGUGGUGCACAUCACCUCAAACAAGCCUCAGGAGCCCAGUAUUAGAUUAAUAUAGGACACUUGAUUCAUUCUGUGCGCUCAGUUCUGAAGCAUCAACCCACUUUUGAAGAAUCAAUGGCAACCAGAUUGCUGCUUUAUACAAACCCUAGAGACAAUUGCAAAUUUACUGCGAAGCAGCAAACUAUACCUCCUGCAAAUAAUAUGUUCAUUAGACUUGGGAAAGGCCAAUCAACAGAAUGCAAUAUAAGCUUGCUGAAAUGGGUGUUGUAUUCAGAAGAACCAAACCUCAGAAGCAGGAUAUCAGAUCAAGACACAGACAAUGCAUAAUAAACACAAACUUGAUCUGUAUUGUAAUACAGGACAUCAGUGGCCAAUUUUGUCCACACAUUUAUAAAUUAUUUGCCAAACUAGUUCAUUUAAUUGCUGUCUUAUAUAGAAUGUAACAACAUCUCUAGCUCUGCUAUCAAACAUGAGCAGCCACAAUAGUCUGUUAUAUGAUCCUGUACAAGAACUGCCCUAAAGCUGACAUUGGUGCAAAGUCCAGGUAGUUUUGAUCACCAAUCGACUCUCACUAGUUUGUCUUUAUAGCCUUGUGGCACUGAUAGAAUCUUGCAUUCACGAUUUUGGGAGUGACUGCAAAAAUUCCCCUUUUCUCUGUCAGUUUUAAAGACUAUGCUUCCAGGUAACAUAACAUAUUUUUAUACACAUAUCUAAUUAUGCCUAGGUCUUUAUUUUAGGACACUGAAUAGAUUACAAAGGUAGAGACAAUUAGAAACAGGAUUUAGAUAUGGUUACAGCUUAGGUAAUAAUUUUUACUAAUAUAAAUUACUGCUGGCAAUUUGACUCGCAUAUUAUGAAAACUCCUUUACCAUAGUGGGCAGUAAUCAGAUGGAAAAUAUCACAUUCAUAUUGAAGGGCUUUGGCCUUGCUGUUGUAGCAAAGCUGUCGUUUGACUAAGCUGCUUCCCAAGCCACCUAGGGCAGACUGAGGCCAGGAGAUAAAAAGAAAACUGCAGGUCGAAAGGCUGGUACAUGCAGAGACUCAUCAGCCUUCAGACAGAUACAAGAGGAGACAUUUCUUAAGGAUAAAACAGGACUGUGCAGUAACACUGCCCAUAGCAACACGAACUUAGAUUUCUUACCCCUUUGAGACUCUCCUGUUCUUUGCUUCACAAGGCUGCAGAAAAACCACUCCUAGUUGCCACUGCCAACAACUAUGACGAGGCAGCAGCACAUGCAGAGAGCACAUGCACCAGGUCCUGCCCAGAAAAGGGAGCUCAAGAGUAUCGGCCCACCAACUUCCCACCCUCUUCAGCUCAGACCUUGCUGAAAGCAGUCUGUGAUUAGCAGGGUUCACACCUCCAACAGGAAGAGGUCACAUGCUCCCUUGUAUCACUAGACGAUCAGUACACUUCAAAACCCUACACAUCCUCAAGAGCAAAGAUCCUUGAUCCUGUCCUUCUGGCAAGGACAUAAAGGAGACAUUGUGGUGUCAGAUGUGAAAUCUCUCCUGGAGCUGAGGGCAACAACUGAGGCGCAUUCUCACAACUGAGAAAACUCUCCUCCUGUCUCACCAUGUGAGUGAAGAAUGAUCAAGAAUGACAUAAGAACACCGGAAUAAACACUGGGCAUUUCUUGCGACUCAGUACAUGAAAUAGGGCUCAGAGGUCUCUUUCCCUGCUGUCUAGACUUUCCAGCAGGCAUGAACACAGGGCUGUAGCAUGAAGUUGCCCAAUCCAUGGUUUAACAGGAUUUACAACCUGUAUUUAUACCACACCAAUCAUGCUCACUGGGGAAGUUUUUCCACUAGUGAAGGAAAUAACCUACCAGUUAAGAGUGAACCUGAGCUUUCUCCAGCAACAAAGCCUGAUUUUAAACUAAGCUUAAAUUGACAAGUAUGGUUGCCUGGCACAAGGCAAGAAGCUGAGUGAGUUCUUGACUUUGCAAGGGAAGAACUACAGAUUUUGGAAUGACACAGAAGAAACAAUCCCCCCUUCCUUGACCCGACGGCAACUCGGUAAGUGAUGUGUUCCAGGACACAGCUGGCCCUCCUGGCUGACAGGCUACACUGAAACCCAUGUUCAACCUGUCAUCCAUCACAAACCCUAGGUCCCUUUCUGUAGGGCUGCUCUCCAGUGUCUUGUUCCCCAGUCUGUGUGUACAUCCAGAGCUUCCCCAUCCCAGGUGCAGAAUCCAGCACUUGCCCUGUGUAUGGCUGGUGAUUGCCCAGCUCUCUGAUUUGUCUAUGCCUCUCUGCCUUUGAGGGACACAGCAGCUCCUCACAAUUUGGUGUUAUCAAUGUCUUACCUUUUCUGUCCACAGCUAGUAACUACAAAGAUUUCAGCAUCAUGGUCUAGUAAGAAACAAACCCACAAGGACUGUGAAAGUAAAGCAAACAAAGUCAGCCAAGCAUCCAGCUGAGCCGCAGCACUAAUGUGCUUCUCAGACACUCCAGGAAAUGGAUACACUUUGAUUUCAUGCAUCAGUGUGAGGAAAAUGGCAUCUGAAGGCUGUAGUUAAAGAGCACACAUCCUGCUGAAUUAAGAGUUGACAUAUGUGUAACAUAACAGGACCAUCAAGAGAAGCUGAACUUCAUUAUUCAAAUUUGCUGAGUGAUACUUUCAACAAACAGGUUCUUAAGACAACACUUCUGCAGAUUUUAAUAUAUUGACACAUGAAAACAGCAACUUCAGUUCACUGGAAACAGUUUUCUUUUUAAUUUUACCAUAAAAAUGCAAAAUAAACUCUUUCACUGUAACAUUAUAGCUUUUAAUAUUCCUGAGCUGCAUUUUAAAAGCAAAAGUAUUCUUAAAUGGAUUUAACAAGAGACACUGCAGCCUUACUUUUCAACAACACAAGUAAAAAUAAUUUAGCAAGAAGGCCCCUUUUUCAAGACAAUGUUUAGCUCUUUAUGUACCUGAAAAAAUGUUUCAAGUAGCCCUAUGCCACCUGAAAUAAUUACAAAGCCAAAUAUGUCAACAAAAUAUCAGAACAACUUUCAACCAUUUUACCACUGCUUGUUACUUCCUACACCAGGUGUGCCUCUCUUACAUGGAAAGUAUUAUACAAAGGCAUUACAUGCCAGAAUAAUUUGGGCCACAAAGCUUGGCAUCAUACAGACAUAUGAAGGAAUCAAAGCAAUUUAAAAGGUAUCCUGUGUAACUUUAUAGUCAGUUUUAAGAAAAAAUAUUAAAGUCUUGCUAUCCAUCUCAAACAAUAAAAACUCUACUUUGUUAAACAUGGUUUCAUUGAAUGUACCAGGAAACACUUUAAAUCAAAUCUGUAUGUAAUAGCUUGUCACCUCUGAAGUUCCUAUAACUGGCACCCAUGUAUUUCUUAAGCCAAAUUAGGUGAUAAAAACUAAAUACACUAAAAUUAAGGUUUAGAAAACUGAAACUGAAGAAAACAGGUUGGCUUUUAGCACUUUAGGAACUUCAGCACAAGCACAAUUAUACCUACAUUGUGGUAGAAACCUAGAAAGAGACAACAAAGGAAGGAAGGUCAAAAAAAUCAGGCAUCUCUUUUCUUGAUUUCAAGGACUAGAUGCAAGCUAAGAAUUGGUCAAAACAAUUGUGUUUUCUAUAACAGUCACACCAAUGAGGUCUGGUGUCCAAUUCUGUGGCCCUUUUGUCCUACCAGAGCUUUUCAAAGGAGCCAAGGCCUCCACCACCCACUCUGAGCACUCCUUUGCCUAUUCAGCGAUCACCUCCGGUGCCUUCGUCUCCUGCUCGCGCUUCUGCGACUCCGACUCCUUUCUCUCCUGUCCCGCCUCCGUUCGCGACUGCGCGUUCUCCUGUAGCGGGAACGCCUGGGGCUUGCGCUCCUUCGCCGGGGACUGCGGCUUCGGCGAGGGCUGUAACUUCUGCUGGAGUGUCUGUAAUACCUCCUGUCCCUCCUAUGCUUUUCAUCCCGGUGACUCACAUCUCUUCUGUGCCUGCUGCUCUCCCGUCUACCCUUACUCUCAUCACUGUUUAUGCUGCUACAUGAAUGGCUCUUUCUUCUCCUUGGCUCUGUUCCACGUUUGUCCUGCUCACAGGGCAAGUCCUUCUUGCAAGUGCUCUGGUCAUAGCUAGAGAGGCUCUUCUGGUCCUGGUUAUCGGCGGGAACACAUGAAAGUACACCCGAACCCCUUUUGUCAGAACACCUCUCAGAGUUUGUAGUAUGAAGAUUCUGUCCUUCUUUGUCAUGAACCUUGUCGUGAACGUUGCCAUUUAAGUACUUGCAUUGAGUGUUUACACUUUCACGGGAUGCUACUUCUGCUUGAGAGCCAGGAGCCAGUUUGCCUGAAACAGCCUGUCCUGAGGUAGAAGUGAUGCAGCUGGAUGACACAGUGUGAGGAACAGCACUAGGGCUUUUCAGCACGUCAGUCUGAGAUGCUUCUGUUUCUUCUUUGUUUUGAUUAAUUGCAUCCAUUUUCUUGCUUAGAAGAUUGUUCAGUAGUUUCUCCCUCAGUUCCUUUUCUUUUCUCUGCAACCCCAGUGCUCUCUCUUUUUCCUCUUCCACACGUUUAAGCUCAGCCUCCUGGAGCCUCCGUCUCUCCUCCAGCUGCUGCAGACAAAUCUUUUCUUCAUUCUGUUCUUGCUCCAAAAGCUUUACUGUCUGAAAGACAGUCAAAGGGAAGAAUAAACAAAAAAUACCUGCUCCUGCUUCCAAGUUACAGCAUAACACAAAGGCAGUAAAGUGGCAAGAAAAUAAAAUCUAACCAACAGAACUUAACCAUCCCAAAAUAAAAUGGUGUUUCCUUUUCAAAGGGAAAAAAAUCAAAACAUAUCAAUCAACAAAUCCCACUAAUCCAAAACUGCUCCAAGUUGAAACACUAUUUGCUCACAAUUUUUGAGAGAAAAUUUUGUCUUCAUGUCUCCUCAAUAUAACAAAAGUAACAUAUGAAAUCUGCAGUAUUGAAAUAUAUUAUCAGGGUCAAAACUUGAAGGUUUCAGUCAAAUUUAAAAUUUCAAAAUUCAGUCAAACUGAAAAUGUUUUUAAUUUUAUUGAAAAGAACUCCUUUUAGAUGAUUGCUAUCUGUGGCUCAUAGAUGAUUUUACAAAAAGUCCACAAAACCAGCAAGUAAUUAAAUGGACAAUUAUUAUGUAGAAACAAAUUGUUGUUUUGUCAACCACUUUAAAAACUCACGAUACUAGAAAAGGUUCAAACCUUUUUCUAUUCUGACCUAGUCAAGUGGCUUAGUAUAGACCUCAGAAUUCUCUAAAUGAAAGAAACACACUCUCUGUUUCAUCAGACAAUCUACUGCACAGCUACAAAGCUAAAAAGUCUGCAAAAGGCAUUUCUCCCUUCUUCUAGUAUGUAACUGAUCUGUACAUAGCCCUGGUGAGUUCAAAAACACUCCUUAAGUGUACUGGCAUCAAGAAAAAAAACCCGUGCUUUACCACAGAGCUUUUCAUUUCUACAGAAAAUAUUUCACAUUCAGUACACCCUAAUACUAUUUUAUCUAAGUCUUAAGCUUCAGUGUUUCAGUGAAAAAAAUAACAAUACUGUUAGAGACGGAAUCUAAGAUUUGAAACCUCUGCUGACAGUACUUUUCCUACAGAAGAAACAUUCUGUGCAUUUCAAACAUUAACUAAUCAAGUUCAAUCUCUGAAACUCCAAAGAACAGUGAACAGAAUUGCUGUGAGGCAGAUGGGAAACAGCAUCUAAACCAGAAUUAGAAAAGGAGUCCUGCAUCUUAUCCUCUGUGGUUAGCUCACUUCAUCAUGCUCACAUGUCCUUCUACUGGACCUGACAAUUUACAGACAAAAAAUGCUAUUCAGGACUAUAGGUUCUUUUCAUUUACCUCCAAGUGCAUAUCUGACCAAUAGAGAAAUACUGUUUAAUUGUGCUUUUCUGAAAUUUUUGUCUAAGGAAUAGCAGCUGCAGAGGUAGUAAACCUUGUGUUUAAUGAACAGACCUCCCCACCUCCUCUCAAGCCAGCCAAGGGCUUUCUUCUGUUGGGUUCUUCAUUAGCUUCUGAAAUAAAUAUUGAAAUUACCUUUGCUCUGCUUAGCAGUUCUGCAAUUAGUCUAAUGGACUGAAGAUUUCUCUGAGCUAAUAGGAGCUUCCUUUCUUCUAGCUUUAUCUUCUCUUGAAGUUUUCUCUGUUCUUCAGCUUGCAGCUUUUCAAGUUGUUUUUUGUUCCGUCGAACUUCACGAUCUUUCUGUUUCUGUUCUCUCUUGCGCAACUUCUCUUCUCUUUUUCUCUCUCUCUCAUAUUCUUCAAGCUCUCUCUGCUUCCUAAAAAGAGUAAAUAUUUUUGCCUUAUCUAGGCAAAGCACAAUUUCAAACCCCUACUAUAUGCACAAUACAUUUUACACUUCAAGUAAAUUUGCUUCUAUAUAAGUCACGUUGACGAAGAACAAAAGUAGAAAACUGAACAUUUAAACCCUUACUUGUGACAGCAAACAGUCAUAUUAAUCUAUUUUUAACAAGUUGGAAUUCAAAGAAAAAAAAUUGCUACAGCAAGUAAUUGUUUUUUGAACUUUGCCCAGAGGCAAUAACAAUGCAUGAGGCAGCUGGGCAGAGAAUUAUCACAGCCAGAAGAAUAUCAAGCCAACAAAUGUGUGCAGUGGUGGUGGGUUUUAUUUCUGUGAUUAGGACAAAAUAGUAGCUUUUGUUAAAGGCCAUGGGUCUCCGAAACUAGGUGAUUAAUGGCAAGAUUUUUAGGAAAUUGAGUAUUUUGCAGGUUUAAUACUUUGAACUGAACAUAAGCAUAAGUGGUAAACUAAACCAUACUCAGCUUUAAGAGCUUCAUUUUAGCUACAGGCAACUUGUGUUUAUUUAUUUUCACUGAUAUGAAGGAGCAGUUUUGUUAUGCCUGGUUGUUAAAACUAUAACUGAACAAUGAGCUGUAAAUACCUUUCUUCUUCUUUUUGUUUUUCCUCAGCUUCUUUCUCUUUACGUUUUUGUUCUUCUCUCUGCUUUUCAAGCUCUUGAAGCUUUUGCCUUUCAAGUUGACGCUUCUUAAUUGAUGCAUCACUGAGGUGUUUUGUUGAGUCAAAAGAAA
Long non-coding RNA from Passer domesticus (house sparrow), 10059 nucleotides. RefSeq lists it as uncharacterized. The transcript is spliced from 2 exons. The record is from RefSeq and is a predicted model, not a curated record. Lineage: Eukaryota; Metazoa; Chordata; Aves; Passeriformes; Passeridae.